RNAcentral lists this ribosomal RNA (835 nucleotides) under Bacillus sp. THI434. Its description in RNAcentral is "bacterial SSU rRNA". It matches the Rfam family "Bacterial small subunit ribosomal RNA", at positions 60 to 876 of the family's 1533-position model. Lineage: Bacteria; Bacillati; Bacillota; Bacilli; Caryophanales; Bacillaceae. The record is from RNAcentral.
AGUCGAGCGGACAGAUGGGAGCUUGCUCCCUGAUGUUAGCGGCGGACGGGUGAGUAACACGUGGGUAACCUGCCUGUAAGACUGGGAUAACUCCGGGAAACCGGGGCUAAUACCGGAUGCUUGUUUGAACCGCAUGGUUCAGACAUAAAAGGUGGCUUCGGCUACCACUUACAGAUGGACCCGCGGCGCAUUAGCUAGUUGGUGAGGUAACGGCUCACCAAGGCGACGAUGCGUAGCCGACCUGAGAGGGUGAUCGGCCACACUGGGACUGAGACACGGCCCAGACUCCUACGGGAGGCAGCAGUAGGGAAUCUUCCGCAAUGGACGAAAGUCUGACGGAGCAACGCCGCGUGAGUGAUGAAGGUUUUCGGAUCGUAAAGCUCUGUUGUUAGGGAAGAACAAGUGCCGUUCAAAUAGGGCGGCACCUUGACGGUACCUAACCAGAAAGCCACGGCUAACUACGUGCCAGCAGCCGCGGUAAUACGUAGGUGGCAAGCGUUGUCCGGAAUUAUUGGGCGUAAAGGGCUCGCAGGCGGUUUCUUAAGUCUGAUGUGAAAGCCCCCGGCUCAACCGGGGAGGGUCAUUGGAAACUGGGGAACUUGAGUGCAGAAGAGGAGAGUGGAAUUCCACGUGUAGCGGUGAAAUGCGUAGAGAUGUGGAGGAACACCAGUGGCGAAGGCGACUCUCUGGUCUGUAACUGACGCUGAGGAGCGAAAGCGUGGGGAGCGAACAGGAUUAGAUACCCUGGUAGUCCACGCCGUAAACGAUGAGUGCUAAGUGUUAGGGGGUUUCCGCCCCUUAGUGCUGCAGCUAACGCAUUAAGCACUCCGCCUGG